This 76-nucleotide transfer RNA is filed under the name Geitlerinema splendidum. RNAcentral describes it as "tRNA-Ile". It matches the Rfam family "tRNA". From Rfam's summary of the family: Transfer RNA (tRNA) molecules are approximately 80 nucleotides in length. RNAcentral also lists the same sequence under 1 other name. Lineage: Bacteria; Bacillati; Cyanobacteriota; Cyanophyceae; Geitlerinematales; Geitlerinemataceae. The record is from RNAcentral.
GGGUCCGUAGCUCAGAGGUUAGAGCAAGCGGCUCAUAACCGCUGGGUCGUGGGUUCGAUUCCCACCGGACCCACCA